This 497-nucleotide ribosomal RNA is filed under the name uncultured bacterium. RNAcentral describes it as "partial 16S ribosomal RNA". It matches the Rfam family "Bacterial small subunit ribosomal RNA", at positions 28 to 507 of the family's 1533-position model. The record is from RNAcentral.
GAUGAACGCUGGCGGCGUGCCUAAUACAUGCAAGUCGAGCGAACGGACGAGAAGCUUGCUUCUCUGAUGUUAGCGGCGGACGGGUGAGUAACACGUGGAUAACCUACCUAUAAGACUGGGAUAACUUCGGGAAACCGGAGCUAAUACCGGAUAAUAUUUUGAACCGCAUGGUUCAAAAGUGAAAGAGGGUCUUGCUGUCACUUAUAGAUGGAUCCGCGCUGCAUUAGCUAGUUGGUAAGGUAACGGCUUACCAAGGCAACGAUGCAUAGCCGACCUGAGAGGGUGAUCGGCCACACUGGAACUGAGACACGGUCCAGACUCCUACGGGAGGCAGCAGUAGGGAAUCUUCCGCAAUGGGCGAAAGCCUGACGGAGCAACGCCGCGUGAGUGAUGAAGGUCUUCGGAUCGUAAAGCUCUGUUAUUAGGGAAGAACAUAUGUGUAAGUAACUGUGCACAUCUUGACGGUACCUAAUCAGAAAGCCCCGGCUAACUACGUG